UACGAAGGGUGCUAGCGUUGUUCGGAAUUACUGGGCGUAAAGCGCGCGUAGGCGGCUUUGCAAGUCAGGGGUGAAAUCCUGGAGCUCAACUCCAGAACUGCCUUCGAUACUGGAGAGCUUGAGUCCGGGAGAGGUGAGUGGAACUGCGAGUGUAGAGGUGAAAUUCGUAGAUAUUCGCAAGAACACCAGUGGCGAAGGCGGCUCACUGGCCCGGUACUGACGCUGAGGCGCGAAAGCGUGGGGAGCAAACAGGG
RNAcentral lists this ribosomal RNA (254 nucleotides) under uncultured bacterium. RNAcentral describes it as "partial 16S ribosomal RNA". It matches the Rfam family "Bacterial small subunit ribosomal RNA", at positions 524 to 777 of the family's 1533-position model. The record is from RNAcentral.